CCACAGAAGAGGACUAUCAUUUUAAUAUCUCUUUAAUGUUCUGCUGGAAAUAUGCAUGUCAUUUGGGUUCUUUCUGUUCCCGCAGCAGGAAGAUAAGUCUGAUUGGCUGGUGGGAUUUAAUUAGAGGUACACUUUAUCCUCCGUAUGAAAGACAAUCGUACGAGUUUCAACAACAUGAAGCAUCGUGAGCAGGGGAUCACUUUGACGGCGAGAUGUGGGUGGAUGUGUCUGUGUUUGCGCUCACAGAGCCUGCGUGGUGUCACCGAGGUUUUGGAAUCCGCCUCAGCGCUGGGGUGGGCUGGAAAAGAUGGAGAGAGAAAGAGAGAGGGAGGGAGGAAAACAUGCUGGCAGGCUCUUCACAGACAGCUGCAGACUAGUGGGCGACCCGGUGAGAGUGUCCUAAACCUGUGCCAACGGAAGGGAGAAAAAAACAGGAUGGCAAAACACAGUAAAACUGAUCUAUGCACAGAUGCACACUUCCUUUAAGGCGUCAGAUUACAUCACUCUCACAUUCCCUACUUUAUAAAAAUUAUUACACUGUAAAGUAUUAGAUUUUCUUUUUUUGUGCUUGUAAAGUGCAUGUAAUGCCAUGUUAGACGGACUGUAUAUUUUAUAUAACUUGUAUAAUGUUGAUAUACCAGCCUACUUGAACCACAAUAAUCUGCUUGACACCUUUAAAUGUACUGAUAACCACCAUAAUAAUUAGCAUUAAUAAUCAUUAAAUGUUUUUUUUUUCAGUGCCUGUGGCCAUUAAUCAAUUAGACACAGAUGGUGCACAGCAUUUUCUACAAUACAAAACACCACAGAAGUAGACAACACGCGACAUUAAAGUGAUACAACAAACAUGAACUAAGUAACACAAAACACAGCAAAGCAAUGCACAAGAAUAAUUAAUAAGUAACAUUUAUAACCUAUAACAUUAUAUAACCGGCGGAUCUCAAACUGUGGUACACAGAUUGAUAUAAUUGAUAAAAUGCACCAACGACUGAUUAAUUAACUCGUAACAAUAAAUAAAUUGAUUGUGUUAACCUUAAUUGUAUUGUUUCUGUUCCCUCUCUUCACAGUCGGCUCAUUUAGGUUCAUAAUUAAAGUUGCAGUCUACUCAGUUUUUGUUGGUGUUAACUUAGCUUUUACCUUUUCACAUGUGCACUGUAAAAAUUAUCAUGUUGAAUUUGUUUAAAAAAGGCCGUAAAAAAAUACUUUGUUUCUGGUUUACAGGAUGGCAUA
Molecule: long non-coding RNA, 1227 nt
Organism: Megalobrama amblycephala (Wuchang bream)
Lineage: Eukaryota; Metazoa; Chordata; Actinopteri; Cypriniformes; Xenocyprididae
Exons: 3
Source: RefSeq, a predicted model, not a curated record